CCUACGGGAGGCAGCAGUGGGGAAUAUUGGACAAUGGGCGAAAGCCUGAUCCAGCAAUGCCGCGUGAGUGAUGAAGGCCUUAGGGUUGUAAAGCUCUUUUACCAGGGAUGAUAAUGACAGUACCUGGAGAAUAAGCUCCGGCUAACUCCGUGCCAGCAGCCGCGGUAAUACGGAGGGAGCUAGCGUUAUUCGGAAUUACUGGGCGUAAAGCGUACGUAGGCGGUUAUUCAAGUCAGAGGUGAAAGCCCGGGGCUCAACCCCGGAACUGCCUUUGAAACUAGAUAACUAGAGUCUUGGAGAGGUUAGUGGAAUUCCGAGUGUAGAGGUGAAAUUCGUAGAUAUUCGGAAGAACACCAGUGGCGAAGGCGACUAACUGGACAAGUACUGACGCUGAGGUACGAAAGCGUGGGGAGCAAACAGGAUUAGAUACCCUGGUAGUCCACGCCGUAAACGAUGAUAACUAGCUGUCCGGGCACUUGGUGCCUGGGUGGCGCAGCUAACGCAUUAAGUUAUCCGCCUGGGGAGUACGGUCGCAAGAUUAAAACNCAAAGAUUGACG
This 558-nucleotide ribosomal RNA is filed under the name uncultured bacterium. Its description in RNAcentral is "bacterial SSU rRNA". It matches the Rfam family "Bacterial small subunit ribosomal RNA", at positions 338 to 915 of the family's 1533-position model. The record is from RNAcentral.